This 162-nucleotide ribosomal RNA is filed under the name uncultured bacterium. Its description in RNAcentral is "partial 16S ribosomal RNA". The record is from RNAcentral.
UUCGGGAGGCCGCCCGUAGGGGAUUUUUCGCCAUGGCCGCAAGUCUGACCCCGCACCACCCGCCGCAGUGAAGAAGGCCUUCGGGUCGUAAAACUCUGUUUUCGGGAAGGAGCAAGCUCUAGUUUAUAAGCUGGCNCCUGACGUCCUGCCGAGCAGUCCCUU